RNAcentral lists this ribosomal RNA (396 nucleotides) under uncultured bacterium. RNAcentral describes it as "partial 16S ribosomal RNA". It matches the Rfam family "Bacterial small subunit ribosomal RNA", at positions 360 to 773 of the family's 1533-position model. The record is from RNAcentral.
AAUAUGGGACAAUGGGGGCAACCCUGAUCUAGCCAGGCCGCGAGAGUGAUGAAGGCCUUAGGGUUGUAAAGCUCUUUCAGUGGAGAAGAUAAUGACGGUACCCAAACACGAAGCCCCGGCUAACUUCGUGCCAUCAGCCGCGGUAAUACGAAGGGGGCUAGCGUUGUUCGGAUUUUCUGGGCGUAAAGCGCACGUAGGCGGAUUGGUCAGUUAGGGGUGAAAUCCCGGAGCUCAACUCCGGAACUGCCUUUAAUACUGCCAGUCUAGAGUCCGAGAGAGGUGAGUGGAACUCCUAGUGUAGAGGUGGAAUUCGUAGAUAUUAGGAAGAACACCAGUGGCGAAGGCGGCUCACUGGCUCGGUACUGACGCUGAGGUGCGAAAGCGUGGGGAGCAAAC